This 2996-nucleotide long non-coding RNA is filed under the name Macaca mulatta (Rhesus monkey). Its description in RNAcentral is "lncRNA (ENSMMUG00000051174.1)". Lineage: Eukaryota; Metazoa; Chordata; Mammalia; Primates; Cercopithecidae. The record is from RNAcentral.
CUUCUCUCUGACAACUGCACCACCCCUAAGUACCCAGGCUUUAGAGACAAUUUUCACAAAAGACACAUAAAUAGAGGUUUUAAUUAUUGGAUUAAAAACAUAUGUUCCAAAGGUGGCUGUUUGAAAGGGGACAAUAUUUUGGACAGGUAACAUCACUCCAGAUCAACAAAUAUACCUGGAGAUAUCUGCAGUGCUUCCUAUUGUAAACAAAUAAGAAUUUCUCCAUGUUUACUCGGUGGUUUUUUUUUUUUUUUUGAGACAGAGUCUCGCUUUGUCGCCAGGCUGGAGUGCGGUGGCGCCAUCUUGGCUCACUGCAAGCUCCGCCUCCCGGGUUCACGCCGUUCUCCUGCCUCAGCCUCCCGAGUAGCUGGGACUACAGGCGCCCGCUGCCACGCUCGGACAAUUUUUUUUUCUUUCUAUUUUUAGUACAGCCGGGGUUUCAUCAUGUUGGCCAGGAUGGUCUUGAUCUCCUGACCCCGUGAUCGGCCUGCCUCAGCCUCCCAAAGUGCUGGGAUUACAGGCGUGAGCCACCGCGCCCAGCCCUGAGUGUAUUUUUCAAAAAUCCAUUAUUUCAGAGAAAUGAUGAAGUCUAUAACACCAAUUUCAAAAGAGCUAGGGCUUCUUCAGUCAGCACAGGAGGCUCCUGCAAGGGAAAAACGACUCUAGGAGAUGGAGUUGCCUGUGGGGAAGCAGCUCCAGCACAGAUCAAGGCUUCACAUGAAAGAGUCUGGACUUGUAUUUUGUUAACGUUCACUGUGAAGAAGAUGCUCAAUGGGAAAUACAGACAUACAGAAGGGAAGGGGAAAUCUAAGGAAGUCAUUGGUAUCUAGGCCACAGAUACUGUAUUUGUUUUGUGUUGCCUUAAGAGAAUACCUGAGACUGGGUAAUAUAUAAAGAAAAGUGGUUUAUUUAGCUCACAAUUCAGCAUGCUGAGAAGUUCAAGAGCAUGGUGUGGCAUCUGGCUGGCUUCUGGUAAAAGUUGUGUGCUGAGUCAAAACAUGGCAAAGAAGCAGAAAAGCAAGCGGUCAUGUGCGAAGAAAUCACAUGGCAAGAGAGGAAGCAAGACAGAAUCUAGGAAGCUGGAGUCACUUUUAUAAGAGCUCAUUCUUCGGCAACUAAUUCAGUCCAGCUGGAAAGAGAACUCACUCAUUCCUGUGGGAAAGCAUUAAUCUAUUCAUGAGAAAUCCACCCCCAUGAAGCAAACACCUCACUAUCCCACCUCCAGACAUCAAGAGAUUGGAGAUCACACUUCAACAUGAGUUUCCGAGGGGACAAACAAAUCAUAGCAGUUACCAAUCCUGCUUUAAUACAGGCCUGACGAAAUGUCCUUUUGCAAUCCUGGUGUUUUCUAUUUUGUUAAACAGCUUUAUUGAGAUGUAAUUCACUAACCGUAAGUUUGCCCAUUUCAAGCACACAAUUCAAUGGUUUUCAGCAUAUUCACGUAUUGUUGCAACCAUCGACCACAACCUAAACCUAAAGUAUUUUUAUCAGUACUCCCUAAAAGCCCCCAUAACUUUUUGCAGUCCUACCCAUUGCCCUCCAUACCUCCAACUCCCUGCCAUAGGCAACCACCAAUCUACUCUCUAUCUUUAUAAAUUUACCUGUUCUCCCCGUUUCAUAUAAAUGGGGCCACACAAUGUGUUUUCUUUGGUAUUUGACUUCCUUCACGUAACACUUUCAUUUUCAUGUUGUAGCAUGGAUCUGUUCUUCAUUCCUUUUUAUUGCUGAACAAUACUCCAUUGGGAGGAUAAACAGCCAUGCAUCACUCAAUGAGGAGGAUGCAUUCUGAGAAAUGUAUCAUCAGGUUUCAUCACUGUGCAAACAUACACAAACCUAGAUAGUGUGGCCUAUUACACACCUAAGCUAUGUGGCUUAGCCUUAUUGCUGCUCCCAGGAUACAGAUCUGUACAGCGUGUUGUUACUGUACUGAAUACGGCGUGCAGCUGCAACACAAUGGUAAGUAUUUGUGUAUCUAAACAUAUGAAAGGUACAGUAAACAUACAACAUGACAGAUAAGGGCCCGGCACUGUGGCUCAUGCCUGUAAUCCCAGGACUUUUCGGAGGCCAAGGCAGGCAGAUCACCUGAGGUCAGGAGUUCAAAACCAGCCUGGCCAACAUGGCAAAACCCCACCUCUACUAAAAAUACAAAAAUUAGCCUGGUAUGGUAGUGCACGCCUGUAAACCCAGUUACUUGGGAAGCUGAGGCAUGAGAAUCCCUUGAGACCAGGAGGGAGAGGUUGCAGUGAGCCGAGAUCGUGCCACUGCGCUCUAGCCUGUGCAACAGAGCAAGACGCUGUCAAAAAGCAAACAAAUGAAAAGAAACAAAAACAAACAAAAAGAAAAGAGAAAUGAAAGAUGAAAAAUGGUAUACUUAUAUAGGGCACUUACUAUGAACAGAGCUUGCAGGACUGGAAGUUGCUCUGAAUGAGUCGGUGAGUGAGUGGUAAGUGAAUAUGAAGGCCUAGGACAUCACUGUAUACUACUGAAGACGUAAUGAACACUGCACACUUAUGCUACAGUUGAUUUUUAAAAUAACUGUGCUACGACUUUAUGACAGCUACCAUGUCACUAGGCAGUAGGAAGUUUUCAGCUUCAUUGUAAUCUUAUGGAGCCACUUUUGUAUAUGCAGUCUCCUUAACCUAAAAGUCAUUAUUUAGUGCAUGACUAUACUGCAUUUGUUUACCUGUUCAUCAGUUGAUGGAUAUUUGGGUUGUUUCUACUUUUUGACUCUGAAUAAUGAUAAUGCUGCUAUGAAUAUUUUGUUUUCAUGUGGUUUUCAUUUCUCUUGAGUAUAUACCUAGGGCUCGUUUGGUGACUCUGUUAGUACAUAUUGGGUACAAGAAAUGUGUGUGUGUGACUGUAUCAUGAAAAGUGUGUGUGUGUGUGUGUGUGAGAGAGAGUGAGAUAAAAAGGUGAUGGUUUGUUUUACAAGACAAGAAGAAUAGGAAAAAAAUCAUUCAAUAGAAAUUAUAUGUAAGUAGAUUCUUAUAUUUUAA